RNAcentral lists this transfer RNA (69 nucleotides) under Kocuria rhizophila. Its description in RNAcentral is "tRNA-Thr". It matches the Rfam family "tRNA". From Rfam's summary of the family: Transfer RNA (tRNA) molecules are approximately 80 nucleotides in length. The record is from RNAcentral. Lineage: Bacteria; Bacillati; Actinomycetota; Actinomycetes; Micrococcales; Micrococcaceae.
CCCGAUAGCUCAGUGGUAGAGCACCAUGUUGGUAAGAUGGAGGUCCGGGAUCGAUUACCGGUCGGGCUC